UCUAGCCUCCAUAGUCUUCUCAUCUUCUUCCUAGAGUUUCUCCAAACCGUACCUUCUCCAAAAGGUUGAGUUUCAUGGUGUUAAGGAAAUCAAGUGCUUUUCCUCUCUUGAUCUCCAUUUUUCCAUCAUCAAACCAAAGGUGUUGAGAACGUGUUGUGCGGCAAAGAGCCAGUGGAAGGAUACCCAUGGGCUUUUCUAGCCUAAGUAGUGAGUGGGAUUAUUAAGCAUAUUCCUACUAGAAGAAUAUUGAUAGUUAUAUAUAUAUAUAUAUUAUUAUUAUUGCAUAAGUAAAGUCUUACUGGUUUUAUUCUUGGGUUUCAUUAUUUUGAAUGAUAGUUUAUUUAUUAUUAAAAGCUCUUGAAAUGACUCCUUUGGUAUUUUAAAACUAUAUUUGGAUAAUGAUCAAGUUUAUCCUCAGGGUUUGCAAAGGCAUCAUACUUGUUUUGAAAACUUUUUAUUGAAUCAUAAUUUCCAAGGUGAAUAUUUUUAGACUCUUGUUAAGAUAUUAAAUGAGUUUAUGUAAACUAUUCAUGCAACACAUUUCAUGUUAUUGUUGAUGUUAUGAUUGAAAUGUUUAUUGAAGGAUUUCUUAUCCAAAUGAUGCUUGGUUGAUGAAAAGAUAUCGGUUUGAGAUGUUUUGGAUAGCUUACUCACUUUUGAAGUUAUAGUUGGUUUAUGCGAAAAAUGGUGAUUCUAACGUAAGAAUGGUUUUACAAUUCCUUUAAAUGAAGAUUUACCAAUGUGAAAAGUUCUUGAAAUGUUUUCUAUGGUUUUUAGAAAUUAUGUUGAAUUGUGAUUUGGCUUAUUUCAAAGAACUUGAUAAAGAACAUGUUACUUGUGAAAAGAAACCAUAUAUUUUGUUUAUUAUGUUUGGAAGAGCAUGUUUUCAUGAAAUUGGAUAUUCUUGUUAUGAAGUUGAAUGAGUUGCGCAAAACUAAGUUGAAAUACAUUUUGAUGAUGUUAUACUUGAAGUGUAUUUUCAAGGACUAUUCUCAAAUUGAUGUUUCUUAGUGAAAAUGGUUUCAGUGAAGAUGUUAUAAUUAAGUUAUUCACUCUUGGAGUGAGAAUUACAAUUGUGAACACUUGUGAUUUCUCGAUGAGAAUUUUGCUAUCAUGUUGAUGUAUAUACUGAGCCUACGGGCUGGAUUGUUAUUUAAAUGUUUUGAUAGUGACAUGGGAGUCAAGCUCUAGUACUUACUGCAGUAAAAGUGGAUAGUUUCCACGGGCUGACCUAGUAGAGGUGGCGUGGAAAACCAUCAAACCGGUUUUGCCAUUUCAGGUGGGAGCGUAGAGGCCUGAUUUGGAUAUUGUUGGGUUGUUCGGAGUUACCACACGGGCUCCCCAGCCGCCAAUGCCUAGAUACGCGCAUCUUGGUGACUCUUAACCUAAUCGAGGCCACGGUUAGCGAUGGAGGGUUUUCAAGGCUAUUUGUGAGACUAUCGACAUUUGAUUUUUCACAUCUGAAACUUUUAAAUUGUUGAGUUACUGAAAGGGUGUUUAACCUUGUGUUGAACUUGUAUAAAAUCAUGGAUGAUUUCAAAAGGUUUCAUUUUUGCAUUC
Dioscorea cayenensis subsp. rotundata (Guinea yam) is the source of this 1560-nucleotide long non-coding RNA. RefSeq lists it as uncharacterized. The record is from RefSeq and is a predicted model, not a curated record. The transcript is spliced from 2 exons. NCBI's taxonomy places the organism in Eukaryota, Viridiplantae, Streptophyta, Magnoliopsida, Dioscoreales, Dioscoreaceae.